Molecule: ribosomal RNA, 301 nt
Filed under: uncultured bacterium
Lineage: Bacteria
Description: partial 16S ribosomal RNA
Rfam family: Bacterial small subunit ribosomal RNA
Source: RNAcentral
CAGUAGCCGCGGUAAUACGAAGGGGGCUAGCGUUGUUCGGAUUUACUGGGCGUAAAGCGCACGUAGGCGGACUUUUAAGUCAAGGGUGAAAUCCCGGGGCUCAACCCCGGAACUGCCUUUGAUACUGGAAGUCUUGAGUAUGGUAGAGGUGAGUGGAAUUCCGAGUGUAGAGGUGAAUUUCGUAGAUAUUCGGAGGAACACCAGUGGCGAAGGCGGCUCACUGGACCAUUACUGACGCUGAGGUGCGAAAGCGUGGGGAGCAAACAGGAUUAGAUACCCCGGUAGUCCCUGUCUCUUAUAC